GACGAACGCUGGCGGCGUGCUUAACACAUGCAAGUCGAACGGAAAGGCCCUGCUUUUGUGGGGUGCUCGAGUGGCGAACGGGUGAGUAACACGUGAGUAACCUGCCCCUGACUUUGGGAUAACUUCAGGAAACUGGGGCUAAUACCGGAUAGGAGCUCCUGCUGCAUGGUGGGGGUUGGAAAGUUUCGGCGGUUGGGGAUGGACUCGCGGCUUAUCAGCUUGUUGGUGGGGUAGUGGCUUACCAAGGCUUUGACGGGUAGCCGGCAUGAGAGGGUGACCGGCCACAUUGGGACUGAGAGACGGCGCAGACUGCUAUGGGAGGCAGUGGGGGAAAAUAUGACACAAUGGGCGGAAGCCAGAUGCAGCAGCGCCGCGUGCGGAAUGCCGGCUUUCGGGUUGUGAACCGCUUUCGCCUGUAACGAAGCGUGAGUGACGGUAAUGGGUAAAGAAGCACCGGCUAACUACGUG
RNAcentral lists this ribosomal RNA (468 nucleotides) under uncultured bacterium. RNAcentral's name for it is "partial 16S ribosomal RNA". It matches the Rfam family "Bacterial small subunit ribosomal RNA", at positions 28 to 507 of the family's 1533-position model. The record is from RNAcentral.